GCCGAUACACGGUGGAUAGCCA
This 22-nucleotide non-coding RNA is filed under the name Arabidopsis thaliana (thale cress). The record is from RNAcentral. Lineage: Eukaryota; Viridiplantae; Streptophyta; Magnoliopsida; Brassicales; Brassicaceae.